UUUUCGCAAUGCCCGAAAGGGUGACGAAGCGACGCCGCGUGGGUGAGGAAGGCCUUCGGGUUGUAAAGCCCUGUCAGGAGUUAUGAAAUGUAGGUGCGCUAAUAUCGUGCUUAUUUGACAAAGGCUCCAAAGGAAGCCACGGCUAACUCUGUGCCAGCAGCCGCGGUAAUACAGAGGUGGCGAGCGUUGUUCGGAAUUAUUGGGCGUAAAGAGCACGUAGGUGGGUUUGCAAGUCAGAUGUGAAAGCCUUCUGUUCAACGGAAGAAUUGCAUCUGAAACUGCCAAUCUUGAGUGUAGGAGGGGAGAAUGGAACUUCUGGUGGAGCGGUGAGAUGCGUAGAUAUCAGAAGGAACGCCGGCGGCGAAAGCGAUUCUCUGGCCUAUUACUGACACUCAGUGUGCGAAAGCUAGGGGAGCAAACGGGAUUAGAUACCCCGGUAGUCCUAGCCGUAAACGAUGGGCACUAAGUAGAGGGGUU
This 477-nucleotide ribosomal RNA is filed under the name uncultured anaerobic ammonium-oxidizing bacterium. RNAcentral describes it as "bacterial SSU rRNA". It matches the Rfam family "Bacterial small subunit ribosomal RNA", at positions 363 to 830 of the family's 1533-position model. The record is from RNAcentral.